GCGCCUGUAGCUCAGCUGGAUAGAGCACUAGACUUCGAAUCUAGGGGCCAGGGGUUCGAAUCCUCUCGGGCGCGCCA
Molecule: transfer RNA, 77 nt
Filed under: Alphaproteobacteria bacterium
Lineage: Bacteria; Pseudomonadati; Pseudomonadota; Alphaproteobacteria
Also listed under: 1 other name
Description: tRNA-Arg
Rfam family: tRNA
About the family: Transfer RNA (tRNA) molecules are approximately 80 nucleotides in length. Their secondary structure includes four short double-helical elements and three loops (D, anti-codon, and T loops).
Source: RNAcentral